RNAcentral lists this ribosomal RNA (484 nucleotides) under uncultured bacterium. RNAcentral describes it as "partial 16S ribosomal RNA". It matches the Rfam family "Bacterial small subunit ribosomal RNA", at positions 30 to 507 of the family's 1533-position model. The record is from RNAcentral.
AUUGAACGCUGGCGGCAGGCCUAACACAUGCAAGUCGAGCGGCUGCACAGUAAUAGCUCGUGGUUACGGCGGCGGACGGGCGGGUGAUGCCUAGGAAUCUGGCUGUCAGCUGUGUCUAAGGUCCGGAAACGGGCGCUAUUACCGCAUACGUCCUGAGGGAGAAAGGGGGGGAUCUUCGGACCUCACGCUCUCAGAUGAGCCUAGGUCGGAUUAGCUAGUUGGUGGGGUAAAGGCCUACCAAGGCGACGAUCCGUAACUGGUCUGAGAGGAUGAUCAGUCACACUGGAACUGAGACACGGUCCAGACUCCUACGGGAGGCAGCAGUGGGGAAUAUUGGACAAUGGGCGAAAGCCUGAUCCAGCCAUGCCGCGUGUGUGAAGAAGGUCUUCGGAUUGUAAAGCACUUUAAGUUGGGAGGAAGAGCAGUAAGUUAAUACCUUGCUGUUUUGACGUUACCAAAAGAAUAAGCACCGGCUAACUUCGUG